RNAcentral lists this ribosomal RNA (429 nucleotides) under Chloroflexota bacterium. RNAcentral's name for it is "Chloroflexi bacterium partial 16S ribosomal RNA". It matches the Rfam family "Bacterial small subunit ribosomal RNA", at positions 355 to 776 of the family's 1533-position model. The record is from RNAcentral. Lineage: Bacteria; Bacillati; Chloroflexota.
UGGGGAAAAUUGCACAAUGGGCGCAAGCCUGAUGCAGCCAUGCCGCGUGUAUGAAGAAGGCCUUCGGGUUGUAAAGUACUUUCAGCGGGGAGGAAGGGAGUAAAGUUAAUACCUUUGCUCAUUGACGUUACCCGCAGAAGAAGCACCGGCUAACUCCGUGCCAGCAGCCGCGGUAAUACGGAGGGUGCAAGCGUUAAUCGGAAUUACUGGGCGUAAAGCGCACGCAGGCGGUUUGUUAAGUCAGAUGUGAAAUCCCCGGGCUCAACCUGGGAACUGCAUCUGAUACUGACAAGCUUGAGUCUCGUAGAGGGGGGUAGAAUUCCAGGUGUAGCGGUGAAAUGCGUAGAGAUCUGGAGGAAUACCGGUGGCGAAGGCGGCCCCCUGGACGAAGACUGACGCUCAGGUGCGAAAGCGUGGGGAGCAAACAGG